Molecule: ribosomal RNA, 458 nt
Filed under: uncultured bacterium
Lineage: Bacteria
Description: partial 16S ribosomal RNA
Rfam family: Bacterial small subunit ribosomal RNA
Source: RNAcentral
CCUACGGGUGGCAGCAGUGAGGAAUAUUGGUCAAUGGGCGAGAGCCUGAACCAGCCAAGUCGCGUGAGGGAGUACUGCCCUAUGGGUUGUAAACCUCUUUUGUCGGGGAGCAAAAGCCGGACGUGUCCGGCUGUGAGAGUACCCGAAGAAAAAGCAUCGGCUAACUCCGUGCCAGCAGCCGCGGUAAUACGGAGGAUGCGAGGGUUAUCCGGAUUUAUUGGGUUUAAAGGGUGCGCAGGCGGAUUUUUAAGUCAGCGGUAAAAUCGUGGGGCUCAACCCCAUCCAGCCGUUGAAACUGGGGAUCUAGAGUGUGCGAGAGGUAUGCGGAAUGCGUGGUGUAGCGGUGAAAUGCAUAGAUAUCACGCAGAACCCCGAUUGCGAAGGCAGCAUACCGGUGCACAACUGACGCUCAGGCACGAAAGCGUGGGUAUCGAACAGGAUUAGAUACCCUAGUAGUC